This 620-nucleotide ribosomal RNA is filed under the name Alcaligenes phenolicus. RNAcentral's name for it is "bacterial SSU rRNA". It matches the Rfam family "Bacterial small subunit ribosomal RNA", at positions 93 to 709 of the family's 1533-position model. Lineage: Bacteria; Pseudomonadati; Pseudomonadota; Betaproteobacteria; Burkholderiales; Alcaligenaceae. The record is from RNAcentral.
GAGUGGCGGACGGGUGAGUAAUAUAUCGGAACGUGCCCAGUAGCGGGGGAUAACUACUCGAAAGAGUGGCUAAUACCGCAUACGCCCUACGGGGGAAAGGGGGGGAUCGCAAGACCUCUCACUAUUGGAGCGGCCGAUAUCGGAUUAGCUAGUUGGUGGGGUAAAGGCUCACCAAGGCAACGAUCCGUAGCUGGUUUGAGAGGACGACCAGCCACACUGGGACUGAGACACGGCCCAGACUCCUACGGGAGGCAGCAGUGGGGAAUUUUGGACAAUGGGGGAAACCCUGAUCCAGCCAUCCCGCGUGUAUGAUGAAGGCCUUCGGGUUGUAAAGUACUUUUGGCAGAGAAGAAAAGGUAUCCCCUAAUACGGGAUACUGCUGACGGUAUCUGCAGAAUAAGCACCGGCUAACUACGUGCCAGCAGCCGCGGUAAUACGUAGGGUGCAAGCGUUAAUCGGAAUUACUGGGCGUAAAGCGUGUGUAGGCGGUUCGGAAAGAAAGAUGUGAAAUCCCAGGGCUCAACCUUGGAACUGCAUUUUUAACUGCCGAGCUAGAGUAUGUCAGAGGGGGGUAGAAUUCCACGUGUAGCAGUGAAAUGCGUAGAUAUGUGGAGGAAUAC